CUGGAGUUGAAAGGCAAUAAUUUUCUUCCUCUCUGUCAUCACCAAUUUAUUACCAUGAACUCUGGUGCAAUGGAAAAUUAUUACCUCUUUAUAGAUUUCAGCAAUUUAAAACAGGAAGAAUUUAGUUUGAGCCUUUGAGGAUCUAACACUGCAUCUCUUUCCUGUCCUUAGCUGCCUUCUUUCAGGUCAGCUGCCUCUGAUGCCCAACAGGCCAGCAACAGGAUAGGAUUUGGAGAAACCAUGAGAGCCCCAGUUUCCUGAGCCUCAUUUGUGGUUGUGGCAGACGAUUGAGAAGAGGAAGUAUGAAUUGCAGUGAGAUGCAGUGGGAAAGAAAGAAUUCAUACCAUCAGGAUGACCUCUGCUGUUGAUGUAUUCUUGCCUACACAGGAACAUCCUGAACUUGGAAAUGGAUACUCCUUUGGGAUGCCCCUAUAUCAGCUUUAGCUGAGACCACCAGAUUUGUCUGCAUGGGAAACACUACUGUUACUCUGAUAGGCAUCAAGUUGGAUCCCUGAAGCUUCUCCAAGAUGUUUUCAAGCCACUAGGAAGUGUUUUUGCCAUCACCACAAAGAGGAGGAUGUGAGUAGACCAAGAUGCCCUGGGAUGUAAGGAAGGAGAGGCUGUCCUGUCAGGGAGGUCUAUUGUGAAAUGAAACUAAAGUAUGAUACUUUAGCUAGUUGUGAAUUAAAUGGCAUUUAUGAUCUAGCCUGAGCCCCAUUCAAAAUUCGUCAUAUUAUUUUAUAGGAAACAUAUUAAGUAAACUUUUGGUUGGAGAUAAAUUACAAUAUUUUUUUCUUUCUUUUUUUUAACAAGUGGCUGCACCUGUGGCAUAUGGAAGUUCCUGACCAGGAGUCGAGCCACAGCCAUUGUAGAAGCAACACCGAGUAG
RNAcentral lists this long non-coding RNA (888 nucleotides) under Sus scrofa (pig). RNAcentral describes it as "lncRNA (ENSSSCG00015065400.1)". The record is from RNAcentral. Lineage: Eukaryota; Metazoa; Chordata; Mammalia; Artiodactyla; Suidae.